UCAAAAGGGGAGAUCAGACUUCAAGGAAAUGGAUCCUGAUGGUUGAUCAUGGCCUGCCAGAAACCAAACUCCUCUCCCUCCCAAAGAAAGCCUCAGGUGCCUCCUCCUCAACUCCAGUGCUUCCGAGUCAAUCCAGAUCGGGCCUUGGAGAAUGAGCAAGAGAGCUAGGCAGGCCACACAGCCAGGCAGCAAGAAUCUCCCAGGCUGUGCUCUGCCUGGGCCCAGCUCUGCCAGCCUUCUUUCUACUUUCACUACUGGGAAGAAAUGAGUAAGAAGUCGGAGAUAGUUCUGUCUUAGAAACAAACUCCCUUUUCUCUUGCCACUCAGCCUUCGAGGGCCUUAUCUUGUCACCUUCAACUUACAAGGCCAGCUGGCUUUCUGAGGCAAGGAGGUCUGUCUCCUUCACCUCCCUGUGACCGAGCUCUUUCAAUUCUAAGUUGGCCCCAUCUGGAGUUGUCUGAGCCACGCAAGGCUGGGAGCCUGUUUUCCCCUCACCCCGACCUCACAGACUGAGAGCUAGAUUGAGAGCCAGGUCACAGAGCAGACCAGACCGGUCCUGAUCACAGCUGGUGGCAGGGAACUUCCCAAGCUGCCCCGCUGGAGCUGCCCGGGAAUGCUGGUGGAAACCAGGUCUUGGCAGGGGGAGGGCGGCUCAAAGGCUGGCGGAGAGGAAAGGGGCAGCAUCAAGUCCAGGCCGGGCGCCCACCCGCUCGGCCGCCCGUGGAGUCCCGCGCUCACCCGGUUGCGGGUCACGGUGUGGUUGAAGGUGUAGAUGUUGACCAGCUCGCUGUUGACGUCGUCCGCGUAGGUGCGCUCAAACUCCGCGUCUUUCUGCGAGACGUUCUUGGGCCCCAGGGCCCCCAGGUGGCUCUCGACGGAGGCCACCAAGAGCACGCACAAGGGCAGACGCCAGGCGAUCAUGGCCCGGGACGGCGGGGAUUGGCGACGGGACGGCGACCGGGCGCGUUGCGGCUGCCGCAGCAGCUUCCAGCAUCUCACCGGGACCAGAACUUUAACCCCGGCCUCAGAUAGGACGCGUCCCCUCCCUGGAGCCGCUCCUGGGCCUCGCGCGGAUCCCGGCUCGCGAGGGCGGCACCGCGACCCGCUACCCCAGCCCGGCCCAGCCCGGCCCAGCCCGGCUGGAGACCCGGCGUCCGCUCGCGCCCGGAGAGCCGAGGCGGCGGUGGCCCUGGCCCGAAGGCUUCCCGGACGCGGGCCCUUUAAGGGCGGCGGACGCGGCGCAGAACUCGGAGCUACCAGGAGCUGCGCCGCGGUAAACAGCGGGCUGUGCCCGCCCGCUUACGUCAUGGGAAACCGACGCGGAUUUAAAGGGCCAGGCUGCCUCUACUUCCCACGCAGCCGUCGCCGCCUCCUUCCUUCGCUGUCCUGUGAGCGUCUGGAGUUGGGUUUUUCACGAAGGAUCACUAAGUAUUGGAUUCUUGCUUUUGUGGUCCGCGUUUUUUUGGCUUUUUGAGACGGCUCACAUAACUCAGGCUGGUCUGGAACUGGUCGUGUAAGUUUGGAGAGUCUUGAACGCCUGAUCCUCCUCCCACCUCUACUGCUGGGUGUUGGCAUUGCUGGCAAGAUUCACAGAGCCCAGUAAGUGCAGGGUCUUGCUGACAGAUGAUUUCUUUGCUCAAGACAGGAAUUGUGCUCCAAAAUCAUUACCCCAGCAUCAUUCUUUUUCCCUCAUUGGCUCAUAAAAGCGCCUGCCCACUGAGAGCAGCUCAGCGGCCGCUCCCCUCUCACAGUAGAGGGGAUAACCAGAACCAGGGCACCAUAACCAGGAUGCCUUCCAACCUGUGAGCUCUGUCCCUACUCUGCAGAAACUGCUUUGUUUGUUUGAACAAAGCCCACGGAAAGAUUCUGACCUUUCGUUGUCAACUGGCAAAAACCUUUCUGAGGAACUGUUUUGGCUUAGGCUUAAAAGAGCUCUAUACCCUUCAACCCAGUCAUUCCACUCCAGGGACUGUGUCCUACGAAUAAGAAAUACAAAUAAAAUAUGGGGACAGC
Molecule: long non-coding RNA, 2013 nt
Filed under: Mus musculus (house mouse)
Lineage: Eukaryota; Metazoa; Chordata; Mammalia; Rodentia; Muridae
Description: RIKEN cDNA A830035O19 gene (A830035O19Rik)
Source: RNAcentral